GUUCAAGCCCAUUAAUGCUUAGCCUAACAAUCAUGGAAGCGUUGAGCUCAUCUUCCCUUUCCCGACUCUUAAGCUUCAUCUUCACCGGUUGCGAUAGUAACUCUGUUACUGCUUCCUCCUCUUCAUCAAUCAAUGAUGCUAUUAAAUCUUAUCUUUAUUGUUUCGUUAUACCUUCCUCUCCUUCUCCUCAUAUAUAAAAUCUAUCAUAUCUUCGUAGAGAAUUACUUCGAUCCAAAUUCAGAAACCUUCUUUCCAGAAUCUCAAGCUAUGGCGAUUGUUAGCUCUUUACCUUUGUGAGUUUACAACUGCUGCAGUAUUUUUUGAGAUCUGAACGGAAGAUUUUCGUGCCACAUUGAAGGAGCACCCCCAAGAACGAAUAUGUUUUUCUUGUACUAGCGCAAGGUCGUACUCUCGGAUCUCUGGCCUAUCUGCCUAACUCAAAGCUUGGAUCUGUAUUGCAGUUGGUGUAUAUGAUGAUGGGAAUUUUAUUCUUAAGCUUAAGGUUGGAAUGAAAAAUGUCUGCAUAGACCUUGGUUUUGAGGACCAACCAGACACUGUCACAUUCUUUGAAGGUUAUCAAGAUAUCAGUAGGAGAGGCAUCACACAGGACGGCUAUGAAUCUGAAGUUUGGCACUAUAAUAUAGGAGUGUGACAUCGCCACCAUGAUCAAGGCCACUGUUGAGUCGCUUGAAGGACAACUAUGCAGCAAUGAAGUCAUGGUUCGCCAUGAACUUGGACAACGUCAGGAGUCACUCUUGAGAUUCAGAUAUUUGAGGAUUUCAAAUGGUUUAAUGCUUCUUAUGUUCCUGUCUUCGAGGGGCUACAAGAAUCUGAUAAGCAUAUCUAUUAUUUCUCUUCACACAACGAUAAUGGACGAAAAAGCAAAUUCAAAAACCCCAAAUAUCUCAUGAAGUGUAAUAUUCUUCAGUCCCAGCUUAGAGAUCUCUGACAUAUUUUGAUAUUUGAGCUUCUAGGCAUUUCACAGACGGCUAUGAGUGAUGUUCUUCGUGAGUAUGUGGAAUCACACGUGUGGAAAAAGAGGCCAGAUUAAAAGUUGAUACAGCUGCGAACCAACAAGAAAAACAAACAAAGAGGAAGAAGUUGGUUUGGAAGUUUAUGUUACACCAAGUGGCACGAGUCUUAGGUGCAACGUGGGAAAUAUGACACAUAGAGAAAUGCUUCGGAUUCAGAGAAGCGUCUCCGCAUGUUACAGUCAGACUCAUUUCAUUCUGCUAAAGAACACUGAAGCAAAAAAGGCCAGAUGGUAGAUGUGGAGGAUGUAAAACACUAGCUGAAUAAAGCAGGUUAGCCAGAAAAUGAAAUGGCAGCAUUGAAGAGGCAGCUCAUGUCCCCAAUGUCUAUCACAGUUACAUCAAAAGAUGGUGCAAGGAAACUGGGGUUUGUGAGCCGGUUACAGGGAAUGUGCAAGGUACUGAGCUUCCUGAAGAGUGUGAUGAUGAUCUGUUGGAGAAGACAAAGUAGAGAUCGCUCAUAAAGAAGUCCAUGAUGCUGUGUCUGGAGGACAUGCCAGAAAUAGAGAGGAAGCCGGUAAAGAAGCUAAAGAAGGCGUUGAAAAUGGUAACCAAGGCUCUGGGUGUGCUAGAGAGGACAAAUAGACACAAACUAGCUCAGUGAGUAAAUCAUGUUGACUAAUUACUUGUGAUACAGUUUGGAAUUAUAAUAUGCAGAACAUGAUUGUAUUAUUAUUGUGAGAAAUUAUGUACUUCUGUUUUGUCUCAAUUCCACCAUGUUAGUUUAUUGCAGAGUUCUUUGUACUCUU
This is a long non-coding RNA of Brassica oleracea var. oleracea, 1780 nucleotides long. RefSeq lists it as uncharacterized. The transcript is spliced from 6 exons. The record is from RefSeq and is a predicted model, not a curated record. Lineage: Eukaryota; Viridiplantae; Streptophyta; Magnoliopsida; Brassicales; Brassicaceae.